This is a long non-coding RNA of Zingiber officinale, 135 nucleotides long. RefSeq lists it as uncharacterized. The record is from RefSeq and is a predicted model, not a curated record. The transcript has 3 exons. NCBI's taxonomy places the organism in Eukaryota, Viridiplantae, Streptophyta, Magnoliopsida, Zingiberales, Zingiberaceae.
UGCCUCGGGUUCUACCGAGCCUUUGGUUUAGGGUCAGUGGUUAAAUCUAGUACCAGCCACAGUUUUGGCAACGGGUGCAUCCUCGACAAAUUAACGACAAAGUAUACGGAUUUGGGACUUUGAUUCGAGACGAGU